CAGCAGCAGCACCAGCGGGCGGUCGCGGCUGACAUCGCGGUGGAUGAAGACCAGGCUGAGCUGCACCAGGGCGCAGGGCAGGAGAGCGAAGAGCAGCGUCAGCCACUGCCACAUGCGGUCCCCCGCCGCCCGCCUUUCUCGGCAGGCUGGAGAAACAGCCUGAAAGGAAGAGGCAAGGGCAAAGCCCCGCAUCUGGGAGAAAAUCGCGAUAAAGGCUGAGAGACAUCUGAUAAGGGCAGAAAAAGAGCUGCGAGUCCUGGCUUUUUUCUUCAGAGGUCCCUGGGAUGACAAAAAAGCCCUGCUGUGACACCCGCUGCUGGCCAGCAGCAUUCGCCUGCCAUCCCUGGGCCUUCCCCUUCAGCAGCAGGAGACAGAAGACCACCCCGUGCCUUUCUCCCU
Long non-coding RNA from Chroicocephalus ridibundus (black-headed gull), 399 nucleotides. RefSeq lists it as uncharacterized. NCBI's taxonomy places the organism in Eukaryota, Metazoa, Chordata, Aves, Charadriiformes, Laridae. The transcript is spliced from 3 exons. The record is from RefSeq and is a predicted model, not a curated record.